RNAcentral lists this ribosomal RNA (420 nucleotides) under Fusobacteriota bacterium. Its description in RNAcentral is "Fusobacteria bacterium partial 16S ribosomal RNA". It matches the Rfam family "Bacterial small subunit ribosomal RNA", at positions 355 to 776 of the family's 1533-position model. The record is from RNAcentral. Lineage: Bacteria; Fusobacteriati; Fusobacteriota.
UGGGGGAUAUUGCACAAUGGGCGAAAGCCUGAUGCAGCGACGCUGCGUGGGGGAUGAAGGCUUUCGGGUUGUAAACUUCUUUUGCUCUGAACAAGGCAUGCCUUUGGGGUGUGUUGAGUGUAGGGGUUGAUUAGCGCCGGCUAACUACGUGCCAGCAGCCGCGGUAAUACGUAGGGCGCGAGCGUUGUCCGGAAUUAUUGGGCGUAAAGGGCUUGUAGGUGGCUGGUUGCGUCUGUCGUGAAAGCUCAUGGCUUAACUGUGGGUUUGCGGUGGGUACGGGCUGGCUUGAGUGCAGUAGGGGAGGCUGGAAUUCCUGGUGUAGCGGUGGAAUGCGCAGAUAUCAGGAGGAAUACCGGUGGCGAAGGCGGGUCUCUGGGCUGUUACUGACGCAGAAGAGCGAAAGCGUGAGGAGCGAACAGG